GAUGAACGCUGGCGGCGUGCCUAAUACAUGCAAGUCGAGCGAACGGACGAGAAGCUUGCUUCUCUGAUGUUAGCGGCGGACGGGUGAGUAACACGUGGAUAACCUACCUAUAAGACUGGGAUAACUUCGGGAAACCGGAGCUAAUACCGGAUAAUAUUUUGAACCGCAUGGUUCAAAAGUGAAAGACGGUCUUGCUGUCACUUAUAGAUGGAUCCGCUCUGCAUUAGCUAGAUGGUAAGGUAACGGCUUACCAAGGAAACGAUGCAUAGCCGACCUGGGAGGGGGAUCGGCGACACUGGAACUGGGCCACGGUCAAGACUCCUAAGGGAGGCAGCAGUAGGGAACCUUACGCAGUAGGCGAGAACCUUACGGAGCAGGCGCGCGUGAGAUGUAGCGGUGUUCGGAUCGGAAUACUCUGUUAUUAGGGGAAAACAUCUGUGUAUGUAACUGUGCACAACUUGACGGUACCUGCACAAAAAGCCACGGCUAACUACGUG
This 497-nucleotide ribosomal RNA is filed under the name uncultured bacterium. RNAcentral's name for it is "partial 16S ribosomal RNA". It matches the Rfam family "Bacterial small subunit ribosomal RNA", at positions 28 to 507 of the family's 1533-position model. The record is from RNAcentral.